RNAcentral lists this small RNA (127 nucleotides) under Yersinia enterocolitica. RNAcentral describes it as "RtT sRNA". It matches the Rfam family "RtT RNA". From Rfam's summary of the family: This family represents a bacterial cis-regulatory element known as RtT RNA. The exact function of RtT is unknown although it is thought that it may be involved in changing the cellular response in relation to amino acid starvation. Lineage: Bacteria; Pseudomonadati; Pseudomonadota; Gammaproteobacteria; Enterobacterales; Yersiniaceae. The record is from RNAcentral.
AUAACACCCAUCAGGGGAAGGUAAGAACCUUCGACCAAGGUUCGCGUCGAGCAUGGCGAGACAACAACGCGCAGCGGCGGCCCAAAGGGCGAGGAACCACGUGACGAGUAAUCCUUCCCCACAACCU